AGGUAGAAGAUUCCGGUUUGGAAGUAUUGGAAAGGAAAAGGUGAUAGUCGUAAUGACUGGACUCUGCAUGCUUUAUGGUGAUGGACCGAAUGAUGAGUUAGGACUGGAAUCCAACGGAGACUAUACCAGGAAAUUUGGUUACUUGGAUUUCUGAGAAUACAGCAAUGUUACUGAAACUGGAGUUGCCUAUGGAAGUCUCCUCAACAGAGUCUGGUACCAACCAGAGGAGAUCUUUCCUGUCCAUGGAGUCCCGGAAGUCAGACAUGUCUUCUGGGUUGCUGUCGACAACAAGUACUGCGCACUUUCAAAGCAGCUUGAGGGCCUGAAGUCGAAGAGGGUGUGUCAACUUUACGUAUGCCUACCGAGGAGUCCUGUGGUGGUGAGGGUGACAAGGUGAUGCAGUGGUAAUCUCUUGAGCAACAUGGCCUGCAAGCACUUUUUGCAUUCCAAGUUCAACGCCACCACGUUGGAUAUCGAGAGCGCAGCUGUUGCACUCGUUGCCUGCUUGCAGCAGAGGACUUCCGUCCAUAGCUUUCAGAGCUGUUUCGGGAGGCGGAUCUUUCCAAUCCCAGCAUGCUGCUGCCGUGUUCACCAAUUUGGCAGUCGAGAAUGCUGUCGAAGUCGUCGUCCAAUUC
Musa acuminata subsp. malaccensis (wild Malaysian banana) is the source of this 635-nucleotide non-coding RNA. Lineage: Eukaryota; Viridiplantae; Streptophyta; Magnoliopsida; Zingiberales; Musaceae. The record is from RefSeq and is a predicted model, not a curated record.